RNAcentral lists this unclassified non-coding RNA (174 nucleotides) under uncultured Elsinoaceae. RNAcentral's name for it is "sequence contains ITS2". Lineage: Eukaryota; Fungi; Ascomycota; Dothideomycetes; Myriangiales. The record is from RNAcentral. RNAcentral also lists the same sequence under 1 other name.
CACCAAUCAAGCCCCGCUUGGUAUUAGGCGUCAGGCCCGCGCUUCGGCCGCGGGCCCGCCCGAAAUGCAUCGGCGAGGACAUCGACCCCCGGCGUGUUGAGAAUUCACGUUCGACGUCGGGAGCACCGGUGCGCCUCCGCCGCGGAAACCUUUCCGGAAAACACAAUUUUCAAA